Molecule: non-coding RNA, 205 nt
Organism: Cinara cedri
Lineage: Eukaryota; Metazoa; Arthropoda; Insecta; Hemiptera; Aphididae
Source: the annotation of a GenBank genome assembly
GGCAUUAUUAUUUGUCGAACUGCGCUCGGAAUCGUCUUUCGUCAACCAAUGGUUUAUCGUUGCUUACGGACAUAAAUUAAUUGGCCUUACGCAUCCUACCUCCUCAACUUCUCACCUAAAACAGUGGCCACUCCCAUCCCCAGUAUCAGGUCUUUUUUUUUUUUUUUCUGGUAACAGCGCCUCACCGAGAAGAUAACAUACUGUG